CGUAGGCCUUUCCCUAAAGAUUUAGACGGAGAAAUUCUACUCAGGCUGCCCGUGAAGUCAUUGUUUAGAUUCAAAUGCGUGUGCAAGAACUGAGAAUCAUGGUGAUGGUGAAGCUCCUGAUUAUAUCCAUAGAUUUAAAGGUUUGACGAAAGUUAUAGGUUCUGUGGAUGGAUUGUUUUUGUUGCAAAGAGAAAUUGAUCCCGAAAAUAGAUACAUGCAAAUCUUUGCAAUGGCGCUGUGGAAUUCUUCGACCAGAGAGGCGAGGCACCUCCCUCCACACAAAAUCUAGUACACUCACUAUGGGUUCGGAUUAGAUCCCUUGACUAAUGACUAUAAAGUGGUUUACUAUAAUUUUCACUUUGGUGAAUAUUAAUAUGCAGCUGUCUACUCUUGUUCUAUGGACUCAUGUAGAAACAUUACACCUAAAAUUAAAUUCAAUUCCUGCGGACGCUCUUUAAAUGAAGCCUAUGGUACUGCUUAUCUGAAUGGGGCUUAUUAUUGGCUGAUAAGGGAGGGGCUUAAGCCCAGUAUUCUUUCGUUUGACUUUAGCAAUGAGGUGUUUGAAGAGAUUAAAGGGCCAGAUGUUAUCUCUUUUAGUUCUCUGAUAUUGCUUGACGACUCGGUUGCCCUCUUGACCUUUAAUGGAAAUUGUUUUUAUGAUAUAUGGGUAAUGAUCCAACCAGGGGUUUGGAACAAACUUUUUACCUUCCAAAACUUUAGAGGUAUUAAGACUUGGUAUUCCAGCAGUCUCAUUUUGGCAACUAGACGUUCUUGGCUAGUCUCCUAUAAUGUUAGGACUAAGAAGACACGACGUCUUGGAUUUUGUCACCCAGUCCUGCGACGCAGCUGUGGGGUUUAUGUUUAUAAGGAAAGCUUAGUAACAUUGAAAUGAGAGAAUGUAUAGCAGCUGGACCAUCGCAACUUUCCUGAUGCCUCCUUUGAGCUUUAAACAAGAGUAUGCAACAAACUCAAGUGUGGAGAACAUAGAGGGGGAGCGACAAACACAGCAUUCCGUAGUUAUUAGAGUGUUCCAGCGAAUUGAUGUAGAGUAGGUUUGCGGGAUGAAUGAAUUGAUUUGAAUUCCUGACUCUUACCUUUUUAAUACAGUUAUGAAGGAAUUACAGCGAUAUACUCCUUUGAUUUUUUUCGUUAGAUUUGCUACUGUGUCACUUUAGUGAGAAAAGUUACAAGAUAUGCCGAAAUAUUUGGUUCAUAAAGAUUUUGGAAUCCAGUCUGCAGAAACUUUGGAGUGAGAAAUUCGAGCGAUUUAUAUAUCACAUGUUCUGCUCAUUCAUUCUGUCUUCAUCUUGUAUUUGUAUUCCUUUGUAGUAGCAUCCUGUUGCUUUGACAUUUGCUAUAGGAAUUUUGAAUAGUGAGCUGAAUGGAGAGAGUACCUCAUCUCUGUGAAACAAAUUAUAUUGAGAUAUUGCAAGACAUGAGCUUUCUACUUUGUUUUUCUACUUCACAUUUGCAGGAUAGGAAUAUGAACAGGCCCUGGAAGUUCCUCAGGAGCUAAAAUCUCCGUUUGGGCCAUUUUCUUAUCACGUGUUCAAUCUGUCUUCAUAUUGUAUUUGCGUUCCUAACUCUGUAAUAGCAAUUUGUUGCUUUGACAUUAGCAAUAGGAAAUUGAACAGUGAGAAACUA
Long non-coding RNA from Nicotiana attenuata, 1644 nucleotides. RefSeq lists it as uncharacterized. NCBI's taxonomy places the organism in Eukaryota, Viridiplantae, Streptophyta, Magnoliopsida, Solanales, Solanaceae. The record is from RefSeq and is a predicted model, not a curated record. The transcript is spliced from 2 exons.